GUCGUAACAAGGUUUCCGUAGGUGAACCUGCGGAAGGAUCAUUACAAAUCAUUAUGCUGGCGCCUCGGUUGAGGGGUCUAGCACAUGUGCCCGGACUGCUAUCGUCUUUCAUGAUGAUAGCAGUCUGUGACAUAUAUUUACGCUUGUUGUGUUUGACAGAGUUUAUAUUAUUACACAUAUAAAAAUAGACAACUUUUAACAAUGGAUCUCUUGGCUCUUGCAACGAUGAAGAACGCAGUAAAGUGCGAUAUGUAAUGCGAUUUGCAUGAAUCUGUGAGUCAUCUAAUCUUUGAACGCAACUUGCACCCAUUCGUGGGUAUGUCUGUUUGAGUACCGCAAAUCAUUAUAUCCAGCAAUGGAUGAUCUGAGGAUUAUCUCUCCCUUUCUUUGUGAGAGAUUUCCUUGAAAAUGAGCAAGCGGGCAAUCAUUGCUAGCUGUCAUGUGCUAGAGACUUUUAGUCUUGUCACGGCACACUGGUGAUGAACCCAGUUCCAUCCUCCUCUUCUUUUGGGGGGAGGAUGAACAAUUUUUGUAUUUUGGUCUCAAAUCAGUCAAGACUACCCGCUGAACUUAAGCAUAUCAGUAAGCGGAGGAAAAGAAACUAACAAGGAUUCCCCUAGUAACGGCGAGUGAAGCGGGAAUAGCUCAAAUUUGUAAUCUCGGCGGUUUCCGUCGCGAAUUGUAAUCUAAAGAGGGUGAUCUAGGUGUGAGCAUGGCUGACAAAGUUCCUUGGAAUAGGACGCCUGAGAGGGUGAGAGCCCCGUAAAGUCAGCUUGAGCACACUAAAGUGAGAACCUUUCAAAGAGUCGAGUUGUUUGGGACUGCAGCUCAAAAUGGGUGGUAAAUCUCAUCUAAGGCUAAAUAUUGGCAAGAGACCGAUAGCGAACAAGUACCGUGAGGGAAAGAUGAAAAGCACCUUGAAAAGGGAGUUAAAUAGUACGUGAAAUUGUUAAAAGGGAAACGAUUGAGACCAGUAUUGGAGUGGGAUUGUGAUGGCUAGAUUUCGGUCUGGUCAGAGCGCCUGCUGCGAGUCAAUGUCAAUUGAGCUGGCUGGAUAUGCACUGGUGGAAGGUGGGCUCUCUCUUCGGAUUGGGUCUUUAUAGACACUGGAUGUUGCAGCCGGAGCGAUUGGUAGAAGAGGGAUGCAUGCCUGGAUCUGGCUGGCAAGCUUGUGCACGACAUGUCGAGUACCGGCCCAACAGACAGCGAAGGGUAUUCUUACCGAUUCGUCCUUGACGAAAUGGUCUUAAACGAC
This 1255-nucleotide ribosomal RNA is filed under the name uncultured fungus. RNAcentral's name for it is "eukaryotic LSU rRNA". The stretch from base 538 to 1255 matches the Rfam family "Eukaryotic large subunit ribosomal RNA", at positions 1 to 648 of the family's 3401-position model. Lineage: Eukaryota; Fungi. The record is from RNAcentral.